GCACCUCCCAUCAGGAGCACGUGAUGGCAAUUUCUCCCAUUCGUGCUGAUGGUAAGUUUGACCACGUUGUUAAGAGAGCAUUCGCCAAAUUUUCCAUCUUUAAAGAUAUCUUUUGCCCCUUUGUAAAUGCCCCAUGUGGGGUGAUAUUUUGAUAAUUCCCCUUUGUAAGUAUCCCUUUGGGGUGGAUAGCUUCUUCCUCGAUAGGCUGUCACCCAUGCUUUUAGCGUACAUUGAUGAUUCUUGCCCGAAUACUCAUUUUUAAGGGAACAUUGGGAACAACAUCGAUUCGUGUUCAAACUGUAAAAUCUUGAUAAGCAUUUUCCUUGGUUUUUUAGUUGGUGAGAACUGUGGUGUCCGCUUGGGAACUUUUUCCUUUCAUCACAGAGCAAUCCCUGAGGGAAUUUGUGCCACAUGGAACUCAGCUUGCUCGCCUGCAUGGGGACACGAGAGGCGCAGCAGCGGUCUGGGAAGCCGGCUGUAGAAUAACAUUGAGGCGUCAACGUGUAACACGCCAUUGACGACCAGUGUGCCAGACCCCACAUAACGUGUGUCGGACGUAAUCCUUGCCUUUGAGAGAUUUGGUAACGGAUCAAAGACGGCGAAAACCUUGGAGAGCUUAGUCUCUGUGUCCGGAAUUUUAUAACUCAAAGCCUUAAUUUCUCUUCAAAACAAUUCUCACAGUUUUUCUGUGUAUCUCUGAGGAUCAUACUCCUAAAACCUUCUGUUCUUGAGAAAAGGAAGGUCCCUUCUGUCACCCGUGCCAAACGGAUACUCUGCAUAGGCUUGAAGGUGACAGCUCACUUUAGAGUGAGGGGAUGAUUUUAACCAGUGGAAAAGGACAAUGAAAACAAGAGGGGCGCGUGAAGACCUCGGGGUAUGAAGAAGCUCACGCCCGCUUCUCACCGGCUGGGCUUUAAGGCCUAUGUCCCUGAGUCCCGUGGCAGACACCUUCCCUCCUCUGUGCCACAGCAGGGAAUCUGCGUCACCCCUGCCUGGUCGAAACCCAGGCCGGGAGAGGUGCUCCCAACCCCUUUGGCAGCAUCCCUCCUGACUCUUGCAGGAGACCAGCUUUUGUGCAGGUCAGCAUCGUUCCCGGACCACAGGGACGGGCCUUGGACGGGGAGUUUUUGUUCAAAAGCUUCCAGUUGCUUCUGUGUUCUCUCGCCCGAUCCACCAGGCUCUUUUGCGCUCACAUUUCAACAGUGCACGAAGGAGCGUUGGUCUUGAGAGCCUCCGAGAUCAUCCUGGCGCCAGACUCCCCAAUGUGAUUUCCCUGGAGGCUGGAAGAGAAGGAUUCGGACCCGGCUUGAGAGAGGGGCUCAAGGGCCAGAGGCCUGCAAGUCCCUUUAGUAAAGAGCAGACAGUCACUACACGAAAUGCAGAACUCCAGGCAAGACCAAGCUUCCAGGAUCCCUCCUAUGGGGAAGGCCCAGAAUGGCUCCCUCUUAUACCGGGCUGCCCCGCAGAGCCGCUGAGAGACCUGGGAGUCUGCCAGCUCCAGGAAUUGGGCGGAAGGCAGGGCCUGACCUGGGAGCCGUGAGCCUGGGGGGGGGGGGGGGGGGGGGGCAGAAUGGCAGGGAAGGGCCGAGCCCCACUCACUUGAUGUGCUGGAGGCCGCGGUUCCCAGAGAGUGCCGUGGCAACGCAUAUCACCCCAUCCAUCCCCAAGGAGUUCUCUUGAAGACUAGGCAGAGAAAAGAUGCAGACACCAUCGUGAGCCAUUCGGGACAGAACACGCGCCGGGAAGCAGCGCUGCAUCGAUCACAGGUGCCCCAGCGAGAGCAAGGUGGCCUUUACCCCUGAGACCAGUGUCUACCGGUAGCCAGGUGGUCCCGUCCGAGCGCCAUGGAGGAUGGAAGACCAAAAACGCAGGCAUUAAAUGGCUUACCUCUGACAUAAGCUAGAUAGAAUGAACAAACUCCUCUGCAACGUGGACUCGAGUGCUAUUUCUAGUCAGAGGGAAGCGGCUUACAGAGGAAGUCAAGAACGUCUCAUUUCGUGGGGAGGUUCCAGCAGAGAAGUCUGCCGGGCCAGGGUGGAGGUAGGUCUCUACAACCACUCACUUGAGUCUUCGGAGACUUGAGUUGACCUUCAGAGCAUUUGCCAGGGCUUUGGCUCCGGCCACCCCGAUGGCGUUUCCUCUUAAGCUGUCAGGAAAGAUACGAAGCCUAAAGCACAGUGACAGCUGUGGGGUGUAAACAGUACCUCCUCAGACGAGCACGGGCCGCUGGGUAGAGGCAGCAGGGACACAGCAACCACGGGGGGGCGGUUCCUCCUUCCUGACUCCCCGGCCCAGAACAGAGAUCGGCUCUGGGGAGCAGGACGCACCAGGAGGGGUGAAGCUGGCCCAACCUGGGUGGUUCGUUGGAGCCCUCGCCCUCCAUCCCAAGGGAAGGAGAGUGGGGCUGAGGUGAGAGAGGAGACACUUCCUCCAGCGGUCCCCACAUGGUCAGCGUCACAGGACCACAAGAGCAGGAAUGACUGAGACAUGCCUGAGACCCCCCACUGAGCUUAAGUCGCCCUUGCCCCUGCCCCCGCCCCCGCCCCCGCCCGGGGUUUGGAUCUACUCCUAGACCAAGGUCAGUGGCCAAGGACCCCUACAGAGGGCCUCGGGAUGUGCGCAGCCUGGGCAAGACCGAGGAGAGCAGGAGCCACAGCGGUGACUCCCAGGGAAGAGCUUGGUUCGUUUGGGUAAGAGACAGCAACCAGAGACUGGAAUACUCACUCGAGAAUCUCCAAGGUCCUGUUCACAGCCAGGGCAUCCCCUAGCGCCUGGGCCCCCCGGGCACCAACGGAGGCCACCUGCAGACUAUGCAGAAGAGAUGGGGUCAGUGCGGACAGGCUGGGGCGCUCCGGCCUGCACCCCGCCUGGCCCAGCUUCCAUGCAUCCUUGUCCUUCCUUCUCCACCCCUGGACUGAGGGCUGCAAGUGACAACAUAGCACUGAAAACUGUUGGCCCGUGAUCCGUCCAGAGAACGCCGCGCCUCCGGCCUCCCCUGAUGCCGAGGACAGAGAUCGGGAUGCUACGGAUACGGGAAGCAGAGGUGGUUCCCUGGAGGGUCUGAGGAAAAACACUCCCUGAACCCCUACUUCUUACUUUGUCCCAAUGGCUAACAUUAGGAAAAUUUAACACCUUCUUGGCUGGGAAGCAACACUGAUGUUUGGUAUGAAAGCAGGGCUCAGGGCCGGCUGCCUGGGCGGCCGUGCACGUCAACACUUACUAGAGAGCAGUGAGGGCCGUGUUGGCCUUUAGUGCGCUGGCCAGUGCGGAGGCGCCCUCGUCCCCGAUGGCGUUCUCCUGCAAACUGAACACAGAGCGUGACCCCCGGGUUCACAGGGCACGGGGCUAGCGGCACUCCAGCAUGACGUCCUGAACUUGGACCUUCUAGUUUUCAUUCAGACCACGCACACCGCAGACUAGACCCCCAGGGUUGCCGAGGGGAUAACCGACCCCACGGCCUCCUGAUUAACAUGCAGAGGGCUCUGGGGCCUCUAUGAACCUGGAUCAUCAGAAGCAAACAAGAAAAGGGACGCGUGGAAAUACGCUUCAGGGUGAGGACACGAAAAUGGGCGUGCCAGCCAGAGAAUUCAGUCGAAGCCCUUAGUCCCUGGCCAUUCUUGCUCAUCAGGGUUUUACAUCUUUUUUUUUUUUUUUUUUCCUUCCCUUCCACAUUGGAGUAAAGUCAGUUCCUAGCGCAGUAAGUGAUGGAGAGUUUACCUCGGGUGGGCAUUGGGGUGUUGAAGGGAGCAGUCUGCAUUCGCGAUUUUAGCAGACGUGUUAGUGCGUGUGGUGCCCUGGCCUGAUCCUGUCUCAGGUGGGCGGUUGUGACUGAACGAGCCGGCACCGUGGGCCACGUGCUGGGGGGGACGGAGGAGCCCGUGGGGUCUCCUGCCCCCGUGUGGUCACGGAGGCCACCGGGAGAAAUAGGUCUGAACUGAAACCUGCAGGAUGAGAGUUGGGGGAGGGGGCCUGGCACAUCCACGGAACCCAAAGAAAUGGCAUCAAGUGGCUGGCGUGUGAAAUGACGGAAGCAGGCCUUUGGGGCCUUUGUUAGAAGCCACACCGAGGGGUGGGUUUCACUCUGCAGGCACUGGGCAGCCAUUGAAGCAUCUCAGGACGGGGACAGAUACACAUUUUGGAAAGAUGUUUGGCCAGCAGUGUGAGCGGAUGGACUGGAUGUGGAGGCUGCUACGGGGACGCAGGGUGAGUGGAGCUGGUGGCCUGACGGUGGCCGCGAGGGUAGAGGGAGACGGUGGGGCCUUGGGAGGAGAGUCGCAAGUGGGAAGCGAGAACAGAGACGAUGUUUCUAGCUCGCAGGCCGGGUUGGCCGGGCCCGUUCGUGAGGUGGAGCUGAGAACAGACUCGUGGGGAGGCGGCGUGGGCAGUGAUUACGUGGGUCUGGGGCUCAGGAGAGAGGGGUCUAGACGCGGGGGCACCGGGACUUUGAAGUCCAGGAGUGUGCAAGAGGACAGCUUCUGGAAUAGAGAGCUCGUUCGAGACAAGAUGGCCUAGAACAGAUCCCUGAGGAGCCCCAGGAUGUCAGUGAGACAGAAGAACCAGCCAGAAAUGGGCUAUCCUGGAUGCCAAGGGAGAAGCCAUGGGCGUGGUCCAAAGCAGGCGAGACUCAGAGGGUUAGAGACAGGGUUCCCAUUCACCUCCGCGGCUCCACUCGCUCAUGUGCCCAAGAGAAAUGAAAGCGUAUGUCCAGGCAGAAGCUUGUACACGAACGUUCACAGCAGCGUUACGAGAGCCAAACUGUCCAAACCACCCAGAUGUUCCUCGACAGAUGGGGGGAUAAAUGGCAUGUCAAUCUGCACAGCGGAAUAGGAUUCAGCCACAGAAAGGAAUGAAGCCCUGAUUCCUGCUGCAACCUGGGUGAACCUUGGAAAGCUGAUACCGAACGAAAGACCUUGGUGGCAAGAGGUCACACGCUGUUCAGUCCCACGUACGUGAAGUGUCCAGUACAGGUGAUGAAAAUAUUGUGGAACUACAUAGAGGUGAUGAAGGAACAACUGUGAACGUACUAAGUGACACUGAAAUGUAUGCUUUAAAGUGGUGAAUUUCACCCCAAUAAAAAUACAUAAAUGAAGAAACAAAUGACAGUACGCACUCAACUAAGGAUGGGUACAACCACCUAUGACAACUCCUAAAAGGAGCACAGCAAACCAUAGGAACAUUCUAGAGAAUGGCACUUUCAGCGUCCUGGAAAACACCUCAGGGGAACAUCCUGACACCAUGGCCUUGGGGAUUUCCCAUUCGAUGGAAGACAAGAGGUUUUCCUCAUAGACUAUUUUGCUUUUCCACCUCUAUACAACCGCAUCCUCCUUUUCCUCUAUCCCUGGAUUAGGCUGUACACACAAGGACAGUGAGCACAGAAGAACUGAAACCUGAAACUUGUAUAGAUACGAGAUCAUGUGGCAUCCACCUAGACAGGAGCCAGUAUAGCAUGCCUGCCAUUUUGAAUCAUCUCCCACUCCAUGGCUGGCACCUGGGAGAGGGUUUUGUGGGCCCUCUGCUGGUUAUGUCGGGAUGUGGAGCAGAUGGCACGUACCUCAGAAAGGCCAGAGUGCGGUUAAUCUUCAGAGCAUCUGCCAGAGCCUUGGCCCCUUGAGGUCCGAUGGAGUUGCUGCGGAGGCUGGCGGGAAGAAGAGAGAGAAAGAACUGUUUUCUUUCAUCCAAUUCCCAGGGAGGAAAGAAAGAAGUUACACUGACCUUUAAAUCUACGCUCUUUGAAAAUAACGGGGUUUAAGAUUUCAUGUUUUGUGGAGAUACUUAUUCAGGUGAACAAGUAAGGAAUUUCCCAGUAUGAUGGGGGGGUCAGCGGGGGUUGGGGGGAGGAGCAGGAUCUGAUGGCCGUGGCUUGGGCCAAGUAUAGAGAGGAGAAUCAUACCAGCUUCAGGGCCAAAAUUCUGGUGCCUCCCUGGACUGAUCCCCACAACUGACGAGGAGCCAGGAAUUUGCUCACUCUGCUGUCCUUCCAACCGACCCAGGGGACGGUGUGGUCUGGGGGACUUCGCAAGAUGGCUGACAAGCUUUCCCUGUCCCAGUGGUGGAACGUUGGCCUCUGGUGUCCUACUUACUCCAGAGCGGUCAGACUUCUGUUGACCAGGAGGGAUCUGGCCAGAGCUUUGGCCCCUUUGUUACUGAUCUGGUUCUCAGCCAAGCUGCCCAAGGAGAAGGAGAAGAGUGGUUAUUGCAGGUCUACAACUGUCAUGGCCUCUUCCUCAACACCAGGCUUGUGAUCCAAACCUCCCGGUUUCACCAGCAUCAUGAGGGCCUGGACGCAGGUGGAGAUGACGUGAGCCCUGGAGCAGAAUCGCCCAGGCCAGGAAAGCCUCUGAGCCAAGUAAGAGGGAUUGCAUUUCUAUCUCUGGCUGCUAGCCCAAGGGGAUCCUGCUAAUAGCUGGCCCUCAUUCAGUGCUUCCUCUGUGCCUGGCCCGUCCUCACCACUUGCCUUGAGUUAACCCACUGAAGCUGCUUCAACAACCGGAAGGGGGAAUGUGCAGAAAAGGGUUAACCUUGCCCCCAGUUCCAGAGAGGUGACCUCUGAACGCUUGGAAUGUCCUGCCUGAUAAGUCUGUCUGUGUUUACCUGGGGCCCUUGGGCCGUGCGGUGGCAGCCUGACGUCCCUACCUCCGGAGGGGCUUCCCAUGACCCACCUCCAGUAAAAUGUCUGGAUCCAAGCCCGGGUGCGCCUCCCUGGUUGGGACGCUUCAAGUGUGCUGUUGCGCGUGGUGGCUGGGGAGGCGGGCCCUGUCUGCACCACCACAGCGGAAGGACAACUGAAAGCUUGCCCCUGUCUCUCUGGGGCCCGCCUCAUGCACCCUUCCCUCUGCACAUUUAAAUCCGUAUCCUUUUGAUGUCCUGAACCACAAGUGCAGCUACAACAGCUCUUCUGGGUUCUGUGAGUCCUUCUAGUGAAUCAUUAAACCUUUGGGGGGGGGUCCCGGAGACCCCAGACUCACAGAUACCAUUUUAACCCCAUUUUGACACUCCUUUGGCACAGAGUUGACUGUACAGGGUCACACAGAGCCCACCGCUCACCACUGUCUUCCGUGACUUCUUUUGGCUCCUGACUCACUCCGUGUUUGUUUUUGUUUUCUCAGAGAUUAUUCCUGAACCCAGAGGGAGGCUUAAGUGAGGAUGAAGAAUUCCUCUCUGGAUCCUGUCCUCCAGACUCCUCUCCCUAGUUCUAACCACCCCCAGGUCACAAGCCCACUCCUCGGUGUUACUGAGACUUGGAAAUGUGAUCACAGGAGAUUUCACAAGCACGAAACUCUAUUUUGCCGUCAGCACAUAGACUUGUGUCUCAUCAUACCAUUAAAGAUCAAUGUUUAAAUUUUAUUUUUUUGUACUCGUUUAAAUAAAAGUUCAAAUUUAAAUCCAAA
This is a long non-coding RNA of Leopardus geoffroyi (Geoffroy's cat), 7388 nucleotides long. RefSeq lists it as uncharacterized. Lineage: Eukaryota; Metazoa; Chordata; Mammalia; Carnivora; Felidae. The record is from RefSeq and is a predicted model, not a curated record. The transcript has 4 exons.